GACCCGGUAGCUCAGUUGGUAGAGCAAGCGGCUUUUAACCGCUAGGUCGUGGGUUCGAGCCCCACCCGGGUCA
This 73-nucleotide transfer RNA is filed under the name Gemmatimonadota bacterium. Its description in RNAcentral is "tRNA-Lys". It matches the Rfam family "tRNA". From Rfam's summary of the family: Transfer RNA (tRNA) molecules are approximately 80 nucleotides in length. Their secondary structure includes four short double-helical elements and three loops (D, anti-codon, and T loops). Lineage: Bacteria; Pseudomonadati; Gemmatimonadota. The record is from RNAcentral.